RNAcentral lists this ribosomal RNA (207 nucleotides) under uncultured bacterium. RNAcentral's name for it is "partial 16S ribosomal RNA". It matches the Rfam family "Bacterial small subunit ribosomal RNA", at positions 568 to 774 of the family's 1533-position model. The record is from RNAcentral.
UGCGUAGGCGGACACGUCAGUGCUUUGUGAAAUCCCACGGCUCAACCGUGGAAGUGCUUGGCAUACUGCGUGUCUUGAGGUCGGUAGAGGUUGCCGGAACUGUAGGUGUAGCGGUGAAAUGCGUAGAUAUCUACAGGAACACCCAUAGCGAAGGCAGGCAACUGGGCCGAUUCUGACGCUGAGGCACGAAAGCGUGGGGAGCAAACA